This is a transfer RNA of Gloeobacter kilaueensis JS1, 73 nucleotides long. It matches the Rfam family "tRNA". Rfam says of the family: Transfer RNA (tRNA) molecules are approximately 80 nucleotides in length. Their secondary structure includes four short double-helical elements and three loops (D, anti-codon, and T loops). NCBI's taxonomy places the organism in Bacteria, Bacillati, Cyanobacteriota, Cyanophyceae, Gloeobacterales, Gloeobacteraceae. The record is from Rfam.
GCCGGGAUAGCUCAGUUGGUAGAGCAGCGGACUGAAAAUCCGCGUGUCGCCAGUUCAAGUCUGGCUCCUGGCA